Hevea brasiliensis (rubber tree) is the source of this 413-nucleotide long non-coding RNA. RefSeq lists it as uncharacterized. The transcript is spliced from 4 exons. The record is from RefSeq and is a predicted model, not a curated record. NCBI's taxonomy places the organism in Eukaryota, Viridiplantae, Streptophyta, Magnoliopsida, Malpighiales, Euphorbiaceae.
GAGAGACUGAGUCAAGGCCUAGAGGCGACUCCAGUCAGAUAAGAGCAAGGAGAAAGCAGCAGAGUGAGCUGCGGGAUUGACAAGAACUUCUUGAUCCCUUUUGUACGGCUGAAAAAGACUUGAAAGCUCGGAGAGACUGAGUCAAGGCCUAGAGGCGACUCCAGUCAGAUAAGAGCAAGGAGAAAGCAGCAGAGUGAGCUGCGGGAUUGACAAGAACUUCUUGAUCCCUUUUGUACGGGUAUUGUUUUAUACCCUUAUGGUUAUUUUGAUGUAAAUACUGUAAUGUCAUAAGUAUCAAUGUAAAUUGAGCAGUUAUAAAUAAAUUGUAAUAAUAUUAUUUUGGGUUGCUUCUGUAAAUUUAAUAUUUGUAAAUAUGAAUUUUCUGCUUUAUGCCUUGUUAAUGAAGUAUUAAA